AAUAGAUACCCGGGUAGUCCACGCCGUAAACGAUGAGUGCUAAGUGUUAGGGGGUUUCCGCCCCUUAGUGCUGCAGCUAACGCAUUAAGCACUCCGCCUGGGGAGUACGGUCGCAAGACUGAAACUCAAAGGAAUUGACGGGGGCCCGCACAAGCGGUGGAGCAUGUGGUUUAAUUCGAAGCAACGCGAAGAACCUUACCAGGUCUUGACAUCCCACUGACCGCUAUGGAGACAUAGUUUUCCCUUCGGGGACAGUGGUGACAGGUGGUGCAUGGUUGUCGUCAGCUCGUGUCGUGAGGUGUUGGGUUAAGUCCCGCAACGAGCGCAACCCUUGAUCUUAGUUGCCAUCAUUUAGUUGGGCACUCUAAGGUGACUGCCGGUGACAAACCGGAGGAAGGUGGGGAUGACGUCAAAUCAUCAUGCCCCUUAUGACCUGGGCUACACACGUGCUACAAUGGACGGUACAAACGGUUGCCAACCCGCGAGGGGGAGCUAAUCCGAUAAAAAUCGUUCUCAGUUCGGAUUGUAGGCUGCAACUCGCCUAC
Molecule: ribosomal RNA, 545 nt
Filed under: uncultured bacterium
Lineage: Bacteria
Description: bacterial SSU rRNA
Rfam family: Bacterial small subunit ribosomal RNA
Source: RNAcentral